ACCUGAACCAAUUCAUCCACCUGGCCCUGGCACUGGCCAGCAAAUACCAGCCUCGUGACUCGUUACUCAAAGGUGCUGUUAUGGAAGUGCUGCCUACCAUGUUCUAUGAAAAUUCGCACUCUGAAGAUACUCCACUUCAUAACUGUGGACACUUACUUGGCCCAAGAAACUGCUGUGUGUGCAGGUGCUACCUGGCCCUCUUUAUGUCACCUUGUGGGGAUUGAGCUUUGGAGAACCAGCACAAGAAAAUGCUGCUAUUCUGGCUAUUGCUAAUGUCAGGGCAUUUUUCUCAGAUCUUCAACGUGAGAACCGGGUGGGAUUCCUGGUUGCUCCGUCUCCAGCAGUUGUCAAAACGACUAUAUGUGUUCCUACCAAUUUAUGACUGCAGGGGUUUCUGUUCUAGGGUUGAUUUCUCAGUCAUCAGAACGGAUGUUCCCGAGUAUGUGUGGAAUACAAUAGCACAGUUUUCCAGCAAUGUAAAUUAUGUGCCCUGCCUGCAGCUGAAAGGAUAAGCAUGGUUCUCUUCUACCUUUAUUCUACUCGAAACCUCUGGGAUGCCUCCAAGGGUGUUAC
RNAcentral lists this long non-coding RNA (573 nucleotides) under Equus caballus (horse). Its description in RNAcentral is "lncRNA (ENSECAG00000056581.1)". The record is from RNAcentral. Lineage: Eukaryota; Metazoa; Chordata; Mammalia; Perissodactyla; Equidae.